UACGUAGGGUGCGAGCGUGUCCGGAAUUAUUGGGCGUAAAGAGCUCGUAGGCGGUUUGUCGCGUCUGCUGUGAAAACCCGAGGCUCAACCUCGGGCCUGCAGUGGGUACGGGCAGACUAGAGUGUCGGUAGGGGAGAUUGGAAUUCCUGGUGUAGCGGUGGAAUGCGCAGAUAUCAGGAGGAACACCGAUGGCGAAGGCAGGUAUCUGGGCCAUUACUGACGCUGAGGAGCGAAAGCAUGGGGAGCGAACAGG
This 253-nucleotide ribosomal RNA is filed under the name uncultured bacterium. RNAcentral's name for it is "partial 16S ribosomal RNA". It matches the Rfam family "Bacterial small subunit ribosomal RNA", at positions 524 to 776 of the family's 1533-position model. The record is from RNAcentral.